Molecule: ribosomal RNA, 397 nt
Filed under: uncultured bacterium
Lineage: Bacteria
Description: partial 16S ribosomal RNA
Rfam family: Bacterial small subunit ribosomal RNA
Source: RNAcentral
AUACGUAGGUGACAAGCGUUAUCCGGAUUUACUGGGCGUAAAGGGCGUGUAGGCGGUCUUGCAAGUCAGAAGUGAAAUUCCUGAGCUCAACUCGGGCGCUGCUUCUGAAACUGCAGGACUUGAGUGCUGGAGGGGAUAGCGGAAUUCCUAGUGGAGCGGUAAAAUGCGCAGAUAUUAGGAAGAACACCGGUGGAGAAGGCGGCUAUCUGGACAUCAACUGACGCUAAGGCUCGAAAGCGUGGGGAGCAAACAGGAUUAGAUACCCUGGUAGCCCACGCCGUAAGCGAUGAAUACUAGGUGUAGGGGGUAUCGACUCCCUCUGUGCCGCAGUUAACACAAUAAGUAUUCCGCCUGGGGAGUACGGCCGCAAGGUUGAAACUUAAAGGAAUUGACGGGG